GACGAACGCUGGCGGCGUGCUUAACACAUGCAAGUCGAACGGAAAGGCCCUGCUUGCAGGGUACUCGAGUGGCGAACGGGUGAGUAACACGUGGGUGAUCUGCCCUGCACUUCGGGAUAAGCCUGGGAAACGGGGUCUAAUACCUGAUAGGAGCCAUUUUUUGUGGGAUGGUUGGAAAGUUUUUUGGGUGUUGGGUGAGCUCGCGGCCUAUCAGCGUGUUGGGGGGGUAAUGGCCUACCAAGGCGCCGACGGGUAGCCGGACAGGGGGGGUGGGCGGCCACCCUGGGACUGAGAGGAGGCCCCGGCUCCUAAGGGUGGACGCAGUGGGGAAGCUUGAACCAUCGGCGCCAGCCUGGUGCAGCGGCGCCGCGUGGGGGAUAACCGCCUUCGGGUUGUAAAAUACCUUCGCUAGGGACGAAGCUUUUUGUGACGGUACCUAGAUAAGAAGCACCGGCUAACUACGUG
RNAcentral lists this ribosomal RNA (465 nucleotides) under uncultured bacterium. Its description in RNAcentral is "partial 16S ribosomal RNA". It matches the Rfam family "Bacterial small subunit ribosomal RNA", at positions 28 to 507 of the family's 1533-position model. The record is from RNAcentral.